CACCCGGUAGCUGAGUGGUUAGAGCGCUGGCUUGACAAGCCAGAGGACCGGAGUUCGAUUCCCCGGGCGGGUGG
Portunus trituberculatus (swimming crab) is the source of this 74-nucleotide non-coding RNA. The record is from the annotation of a RefSeq genome assembly. Lineage: Eukaryota; Metazoa; Arthropoda; Malacostraca; Decapoda; Portunidae.